GCAUAUCAAUAAGCGGAGGAAAAGAAACCAACAGGGAUUGCCCCAGUAACGGCGAGUGAAGCGGCAACAGCUCAAAUUUGAAAUCUGGCCCCAGGCCCGAGUUGUAAUUUGCAGAGGAUGCUUUUGGCGCGGUGCCUUCCGAGUUCCCUGGAACGGGACGCCAUAGAGGGUGAGAGCCCCGUACGGUUGGACACCAAGCCUUUGUAAAGCUCCUUCGACGAGUCGAGUAGUUUGGGAAUGCUGCUCUAAAUGGGAGGUACAUUUCUUCUAAAGCUAAAUAUUGGCCAGAGACCGAUAGCGCACAAGUAGAGUGAUCGAAAGAUGAAAAGCACUUUGAAAAGAGGGUUAAACAGCACGUGAAAUUGUUAAAAGGGAAGCGCUUGUGACCAGACUUGCGUCCGGUGAAUCACCCAGCUCUCGCGGCUGGGGCACUUCGCCGGCACAGGCCAGCAUCAGCUUGCCGUCGGGGACAAAAGCUUCAGGAACGUGGCUCCUCUCGGGGAGUGUUAUAGCCUGUUGCAUAAUACCCUUCGGCGGGCUGAGGUACG
Molecule: ribosomal RNA, 548 nt
Filed under: Colletotrichum gloeosporioides
Lineage: Eukaryota; Fungi; Ascomycota; Sordariomycetes; Glomerellales; Glomerellaceae
Description: eukaryotic LSU rRNA
Rfam family: Eukaryotic large subunit ribosomal RNA
Source: RNAcentral